RNAcentral lists this ribosomal RNA (641 nucleotides) under Streptomyces sp. I13A-00621. RNAcentral describes it as "bacterial SSU rRNA". It matches the Rfam family "Bacterial small subunit ribosomal RNA", at positions 101 to 756 of the family's 1533-position model. Lineage: Bacteria; Bacillati; Actinomycetota; Actinomycetes; Kitasatosporales; Streptomycetaceae. The record is from RNAcentral.
AACGGGUGAGUAACACGUGGGCAAUCUGCCCUUCACUCUGGGACAAGCCCUGGAAACGGGGUCUAAUACCGGAUAACACUCCUGCCCGCAUGGGUGGGGGUUGAAAGCUCCGGCGGUGAAGGAUGAGCCCGCGGCCUAUCAGCUUGUUGGUGAGGUAGUGGCUCACCAAGGCGACGACGGGUAGCCGGCCUGAGAGGGCGACCGGCCACACUGGGACUGAGACACGGCCCAGACUCCUACGGGAGGCAGCAGUGGGGAAUAUUGCACAAUGGGCGAAAGCCUGAUGCAGCGACGCCGCGUGAGGGAUGACGGCCUUCGGGUUGUAAACCUCUUUCAGCAGGGAAGAAGCGAAAGUGACGGUACCUGCAGAAGAAGCGCCGGCUAACUACGUGCCAGCAGCCGCGGUAAUACGUAGGGCGCAAGCGUUGUCCGGAAUUAUUGGGCGUAAAGAGCUCGUAGGCGGCUUGUCACGUCGGGUGUGAAAGCCCGGGGCUUAACCCCGGGUCUGCAUUCGAUACGGGCUAGCUAGAGUGUGGUAGGGGAGAUCGGAAUUCCUGGUGUAGCGGUGAAAUGCGCAGAUAUCAGGAGGAACACCGGUGGCGAAGGCGGAUCUCUGGGCCAUUACUGACGCUGAGGAGCGA